UACGGAGGGUGCAAGCGUUAAUCGGAAUCACUGGGCGUAAAGCGUGCGUAGGUGGUCAUGCAAGUCGGGUGUGAAAUCCCCGGGCUUAACCUGGGAACUGCAUUCGAUACUACAUGGCUAGAGUAUGGUAGAGGGAAGUGGAAUUUCCGGUGUAGCGGUGAAAUGCGUAGAUAUCGGAAGGAACACCAAUGGCGAAGGCAGCUUCCUGGACCAAUACUGACACUGAGGCACGAAAGCGUGGGUAGCAAACAGG
Molecule: ribosomal RNA, 253 nt
Filed under: uncultured bacterium
Lineage: Bacteria
Description: partial 16S ribosomal RNA
Rfam family: Bacterial small subunit ribosomal RNA
Source: RNAcentral